ACGUAGGGUGCAAGCGUUAAUCGGAAUUACUGGGCGUAAAGCGUGCGCAGGCGGUUUUGUAAGACAGAGGUGAAAUCCCCGGGCUCAACCUGGGAACUGCCUUUGUGACUGCAAGGCUGGAGUGCGGCAGAGGGGGAUGGAAUUCCGCGUGUAGCAGUGAAAUGCGUAGAUAUGCGAAGGAACACCGAUGGCGAAGGCAAUCCCCUGGGCCUGUCCUGACGCUGAGACGCGAGAGCGUGGGGAGCAAACAG
RNAcentral lists this ribosomal RNA (251 nucleotides) under uncultured prokaryote. RNAcentral's name for it is "partial 16S ribosomal RNA". It matches the Rfam family "Bacterial small subunit ribosomal RNA", at positions 525 to 775 of the family's 1533-position model. The record is from RNAcentral.